This 77-nucleotide transfer RNA is filed under the name Clostridiales bacterium. Its description in RNAcentral is "tRNA-Ile". It matches the Rfam family "tRNA". From Rfam's summary of the family: Transfer RNA (tRNA) molecules are approximately 80 nucleotides in length. Their secondary structure includes four short double-helical elements and three loops (D, anti-codon, and T loops). Further hydrogen bonds mediate the characteristic L-shaped molecular structure. tRNAs have two regions of fundamental functional importance: the anti-codon, which is responsible for specific mRNA codon recognition, and the 3' end, to which the tRNAs corresponding amino acid is attached (by aminoacyl-tRNA synthetases). tRNAs cope with the degeneracy of the genetic code in two manners: having more than one tRNA (with a specific anti-codon) for a particular amino acid; and 'wobble' base-pairing, i.e. permitting non-standard base-pairing at the 3rd anti-codon position. The record is from RNAcentral. Lineage: Bacteria; Bacillati; Bacillota; Clostridia; Eubacteriales.
GGGCUGGUAGCUCAGGUGGUUAGAGCGCACGCCUGAUAAGCGUGAGGUCGGUGGUUCGAGUCCACUCCGGCCCACCA